This 433-nucleotide ribosomal RNA is filed under the name uncultured bacterium. RNAcentral describes it as "partial 16S ribosomal RNA". It matches the Rfam family "Bacterial small subunit ribosomal RNA", at positions 29 to 507 of the family's 1533-position model. The record is from RNAcentral.
AACGAACGCUGGCGGCAUGCCUAACACAUGCAAGUCGAACGAGACCUUCGGGUCUAGUGGCGCACGGGUGCGUAACGCGUGGGAACCUGCCCUUAGGUUCGGAAUAACUCCCCGAAAGGGGUGCUAAUACCGGAUAAUGUCUUCGGACCAAAGAUUUAUCGCCUUCGGAUGGGCCCGCGUUGGAUUAGCUAGUUGGUAGGGUAAAAGCCUACCAAGGCGACGGUCCAUAGCUGGUCUGAGAGGAUGAUCAGCCACACUGGGACUGAGACACGGCCCAGACUCCUACGGGAGGCAGCAGUGGGGAAUAUUGGACAAUGGGCGAAAGCCUGAUCCAGCAAUGCCGCGUGAGUGAUGAAGGCCUUAGGGUUGUAAAGCUCUUUUACCCGGGAUGAUAAUGACAGUACCGGGAGAAUAAGCUCCGGCUAACUCCGUG